Molecule: transfer RNA, 72 nt
Filed under: Metamycoplasma alkalescens
Lineage: Bacteria; Bacillati; Mycoplasmatota; Mycoplasmoidales; Metamycoplasmataceae
Description: Mycoplasma alkalescens tRNA-Met
Rfam family: tRNA
About the family: Transfer RNA (tRNA) molecules are approximately 80 nucleotides in length. Their secondary structure includes four short double-helical elements and three loops (D, anti-codon, and T loops). Further hydrogen bonds mediate the characteristic L-shaped molecular structure. tRNAs have two regions of fundamental functional importance: the anti-codon, which is responsible for specific mRNA codon recognition, and the 3' end, to which the tRNAs corresponding amino acid is attached (by aminoacyl-tRNA synthetases). tRNAs cope with the degeneracy of the genetic code in two manners: having more than one tRNA (with a specific anti-codon) for a particular amino acid; and 'wobble' base-pairing, i.e. permitting non-standard base-pairing at the 3rd anti-codon position.
Source: RNAcentral
CGCGGAGUAGAGCAGAGGCAGCUCGUUGGGCUCAUAACCCAAAGGACAUUGGUUCGAUUCCAAUCUCCGCAA